Molecule: long non-coding RNA, 1038 nt
Organism: Brassica oleracea var. oleracea
Lineage: Eukaryota; Viridiplantae; Streptophyta; Magnoliopsida; Brassicales; Brassicaceae
Exons: 6
Source: RefSeq, a predicted model, not a curated record
AUCCGAGCUCUCUGCAACCAAAGACGUAACGAUCCCCUUUCCCUUCGCUGGAAAAUAACGAUUUCGUAGCUACGACAUUCAAUCACCUAAACCCACUAAUCCCACUACCUGAUCUUCAUUGCAGCUUUCAUUUAUCGUUUAAAAGCUUCACUGAGUGAUAUAUACACAUUUUGAGAUGCCUCUUUCCCAACUCAUCUCCUCCCUCUCAAGCAAGCUUUCCGAUAAUUAUAAGUUCCUAGCUUCGUUUCUCUUAACUGAAGGGAGGCUGCUGUAGACAAGUAGCCAAGACGAGAUUGGGAGGUCUGGAAUGUAAAGAAAGGGGUGAGUUAAUGGGUGUGGAUAUGCUUCUGCGUGAUGGCAAGGCUACGAUGAUCCAAGUGUCUAUAAAUAUGCACAGUCCCAACGGCUUCAAACACAUAUUGAUUGAUUGAAAGACUGUAGUUUUGUUUUGCGCUUUUAGGUGUACAACCUCAUUGAUGAAGGCUAAGAUCGAGAUGUUGGAUCUCACUCUAAGGAUACAACUGGCGUUUUGAUAGGAGAAAGAUAAAAAUUAGUAGGACCUUUGGGAUCUUUGUAAACAAGUGGGGCUAUUCUGACUACGACCAAACCAGUGAAUUGUUUGGUAUCACCGGAAUAAAGGCAGGUCAAAGAAUGAAGCUUUUGCGGUCUGCAUUACAAGAUCCUUGUGGUAGAUUGGAUGUAGAAGGCAUGGACUGUCAAAUUUUUUUUCUAGAAAACUGCAAAACUCAGUAUGUUGUAUUGUAACAGUUAUUGCUAAACACUGUCGUGGACAUGUUUCUCUCCCUCUAGCGGUAAAGACAUUAAAGUUUCCAUCAGCAAGUGACCACGUAACCAAUUAUAUCAAAAUCUGGUGGUGCACAAUUGGAUCUACUUAUCUUGGAUACAAUAUAUAAGGUAAUCCAAAUCAUCCUUCUGCAUUGAAGUUUGAUUUGUUUACGUUUACUUUAUUCUGAUGCUUUCACAUUCUCUCUUUUAUCCUACCUGCUGAAAGGAUCUCACAACAAUCACUUAUAUUUC